RNAcentral lists this ribosomal RNA (253 nucleotides) under uncultured bacterium. RNAcentral's name for it is "partial 16S ribosomal RNA". It matches the Rfam family "Bacterial small subunit ribosomal RNA", at positions 524 to 776 of the family's 1533-position model. The record is from RNAcentral.
UACGUAGGGGGCUAGCGUUGUCCGGAAUCAUUGGGCGUAAAGCGCGUGUAGGCGGUCCGGUAAGUCCGCUGUGAAAGUCGGGGGCUCAACCCUCGGAUGCUGGUGGAUACUGUCGGGCUUGAGUACGGAAGAGGCGAGUGGAAUUCCUGGUGUAGCGGUGAAAUGCGCAGAUAUCAGGAGGAACACCAAUUGCGAAGGCAGCUCGCUGGGACGUUACUGACGCUGAGACGCGAAAGCGUGGGGAGCAAACAGG